AAAUAAAUUAAUUAAGCUCAUUGUUUUUAAUAAGAUUGUUGAAAAUAACCAUGUUUAAGGCUCCGUUUGUUUGGUAUAUGUUGCGAUGUUAGUGUUAUGGCCUAUUGUAGAAUGGAUGGUCUAGCAACUUAGUGUCUAUUUGGUACUGUUGUUGGAGAUUUUAAGAUAGAGUUUUAAGUGAUUACCAGAUACUGAACUGCCAUAUCAUGGCUGCCACACAACAAUUUCAAACAGAGCCUAAAUAACUUCAUUGCAAAAUAGUUAAAUGAAUCUAACUUAGUUUGGUCAUUUGAUUUUCAGCUGUUUAUAACAAGGAAGAUGAUGUUGCAACCUUCACAAUCAAAGCGGUUGACGAUCCGAGAACCUUGAACAAAAACCUUUACAUUCAGCCUCCCGGCAAUAUUUAUUCGUUCAAUGAUCUUGUGUCUCUGUGGGAGAGAAAGAUUGGCAAAACCCUCGAAAGGGAGUAUGUUUCAGAAGAGCAGCUCCUAAAGAAUAUUCAAGGCUAGUUAAAACUCUCACUUCUAAAUGUUAUUAAAGAAAGCCGCGAAUUUUUGCCUUAUUGAUCCUGUCUUCUCCAAAAUGUUGCAGAAGCUGCACCUCCACUCGGGAGGUUGUUAUCAAUUUAUCACUCUGCUUUCGUGGAGGGAGUUCAAACGGACUUCAAGAUUGAACCAUCGUUUGGAGUUGAAGCCUCGCAGCUUUAUCCUGAUGUCAAGUACACUACAGUUGAUGAGUACCUCAAUCAGUUUGUGUAACCCUUCUCUGCUUCCAGCUGCAGCUUGCAGGAUCUUGGACUCUGGGUAAAUAAAUAAUGGGCUUGUUGCAAUCUUUGGUUUUUAUAUGUAAAAAUUAUGGUUGUUGGCCUUACUUUCUUCUGGUUGUCAAUGGAAUUUGUAAGACCAUUUUAUGUUUGCUAUGUCAGUGAUCAAAUGAAGUAGGCCAUGUACUUGAUCUGAGAAUAAUUAUAAAGCCAACAUGGUCAGGUGAGUGCGUCUGUGGGGCUUUUAUUAGGGUGCGUGUGUGAGGCUUCUGAGGGGCUUGUGAUAUGGGGUCUACAGCCCCUAAUGGGCACGCGACUGCGUGCACUAAAUGAAGUUAUUAUAAAAAUAAUUAUAGAGUCACCAAGGCAAAAAUUAAAAGUAAUUUGCCAAUAAAAAUAGUUAAAAGUAAUAAAAAGUAGGUAUUAUAUUUCAAAAAUCAAUUUUUCAUUAAUGUUUAUAAGAUUAAAUUUGUUCUUAUCUUUCCUUAAUAAACACAAAAAUUUAUCGUUUUGGACUAAUUAAAAUUUUAAAACUAGCUAACAAGCAAACCGCCAUUAAUUUUUUUUUUUCCAUUUCUUUAAUCAUUCUUUUUUCUCUUUUUGACCUUUUUCUUUUUCUUUUCUUCAGUCCUUAUUUUUCUUUUCUUUUUUGGUUUUCCUCUAAACUCUUUAAGAAAGGCUGCCAAGCCUUGAAAAUAUCUCAAAAAAUAAGAUUUUCUUUCUUAAGAUUAACAUUUUAACCACAAAAAUAAAACUCUAGUCCAAACAUUGAGCACUUACAAAUCAAACGAUAAAAACCUCUUAUUAGUACAUUAACCGUAAAAUAAAAAAGAAUUAUCACAAAUAUUGAAAUGUUGUUGUUUGAUGCUUGAGAUUCUUGAAAUGUAUGCAGAAUUCCGACAAUAUUUUGUUGAAGCAACUCUCGGAAACUUGUUUGUUGAGAUUGAUGAAGAGUCCAUGGCAAGUAACCAGGCAUAUUGCAAUCCUUGUAAUUAUUCUGACCGAGAACAAUAAAACAAAAAGUGAAAACUGAAGAAAAUGAUAAGAAAACAAUAGAAUAAUAAUAUUAAAAACUCGCUAAUCUUGCCCAAUUUUUUUUUUUUUUGGAUAAUGUUCAGCGUAUACUAGAAUCUUUUAGAGCAGAAGCAAAACAGCAACAACUUUUCAAGAAAAGAAAAAAAAAAAGAAUUAUUAAAGAAAAUGGAAAAAAGAAUUAACGGCAGUUUAUUUGAUAGCUUUUAGAUAGCCAAAACCGGUGAGUUUUUGUGUUUUAAUAAGGAUAGUUAGGAAUAAAUUUAAUCCUCUCUAUAGAAUCAUUUAGUUACUAUGUGUCAAAAUCUCCUGUAAAGAAUAGGAAAAAUUAAAUUAGAAGAGGAUCCAAAUCAGGACUUGACUAGCUUACAGAAUCUGUAAGCUACGGACUGCAGCAUCAGCCGUUGGAUGUGGUUGGAUGUGGAGUGAGAAAUUAAACAAUAGAAGAUCGGAUGGUGGGAUGACGGGAGAUGUUUGUUACAGAAUCUGUACCAUAGACAGGUCCUCCAAAUCAUCAACAUCUUGGAAUAAACAAAAGAAUCUAAACAAAAGAAACUCGUUUUGCGUGUGAACCAGUUCAAGAUAAAGAGCAGACUAUUGGAAAGAGACAAAUACUACAAGAAUAACAAAACAUUCUACAGUUACUACAUAAGCCUGCAACAAUUAAUUAUUAACUCAAGAUUUAUUACACUUUUUCUUUAAUUUGACAAAGAAACCAAAAAUGAAAUAAAAUUGACAACAGCAAUGAUAUGCUUACAACAAUGAGUAUGAAACUUAGUACAACAAGGACCUUUUUGCUAAUUUUUUCAAAUUUUUAUGAUAUUUUAGAAUUUAUGGGUUUUAUUGAUUUUGAUAAAUUGGAGCAUUUCUCCAUUCAUCUUUUCUGCAUCUAUCCCUAAAUUUCUUAUCUUUGUAAAGUUUUAACUAUGUCUUUGUAAAGUUCUAAAUGAUUAUCUCGUUCAUAGAGAUCUAUAGUUAAAUUAAUUCUUGUAUUUAUAAUCAUUUGUCUCCUUUGAGACAUAGACCAAAUUUUUUCUUCUAACAUUCCUAUGUAUAUUCCUAAGCUAUAUUUCCAGCUUAGGUACAUCUUAUCUAGGAUUUCACAAAUAAAUUGUAAUUUGAGAUCUGCAUCUUGAAUCAACAUCACCAUAUUAUUAUUAUUAUUAUUAUUAUUAUUAUUAUCCAUUGUUUUAUACUCGAUUUUGGGUUCUAUUACUAGUCGCACUUGUCUUGGAUUAUUUCAAGGCUAGAUAGAAUUGAUUCUAUUAAUGCUAUCCUGUUUCCUUCUUCAAAUGAAUCGAAUAUUUUUGGAUCAAUAAUUCUUUUCAUUUCUUCAUACAAGUGUUUGCUUGUAAUUAAUCUAGUUUUAACUAUGGAAAUUGUAUAAGCAACUUGAUAUUCUUGACUAAAGUCUAGAUGAUCAAUUGCGUCUAGAAAUUUAUUAACAGAUCUUUCCAUUUUUAUGAAAUUGAGUUACUUUUAUCACUUCCUAUCUUAUAACAUUUCAGAAUACAAACAAGGCCCAACAUGCUUCCAUUUGUUGCUAAAAUAAAAGAAUAGAGUUCAAGAUUACUAACCAGUGUACAUUUCUCGGAAUUCUAAGAUAGAUUCACUAAUUGCCUCCAACCAUAGAGAGGUCUAUGGUUAACUCCGCCAUAGCUCCACACAUCAUAUAAGAUCACUUCAACGACUGUUACAUAGGCCCAACGCAACAUAUAGCAAACGGGCCUAAAAGAAUAUGUCUAAGUGAUUUGCUUACAGCUGUCUCUGGAAGAGUGCUUAGUAGUAGAAAAUCUUCUUCCUUUAGCACAAGUAUUGGCAUGUAAGGUUCUUGGUUAUUUUCUAAGAGUAUAUAAGAUAUCUGGAAGAUGACAAUUUCGCUCAAAAGAGUUUUAUUUAUUUCAUCAUUGAAAUUAUUUACAGAGGAUGGUUACAGAGAAUACAGGUGUAGGUGUAGGUGUAGGUGUAGGUGUAGGUGUAGGUGAAGGUUAGGCAUGUGAUGUCCUUCCCUUCUUACAUGUUUCUAUUUAUAAUCUUAAAUAGAUAAGGUUAUCUCUUUUACAUGACACUUGUUUAAUUCUCUUGGUGGAUUGUGGAUUCUUUCCUGAUAAGGUGACCCUUCUUCUUUUUAUCAUUAAAGACAGUGGUUGUCUUCUUUUCCUGGUGGUAGACAGCCUUUAUCUGGUUGUAGUGUGCUUUAUCUUUUUGGAAUCUUUCUUUUUGAAUUAUUAAUGCUUUUAGGAUAGCACCUUUUAUCUUUUCCAAUGGUUCCUGUCACAUGCCAAGUAUCAAAUCUUCCUCUAGUGACAUGUCUUCCCCACUAGAAUCCUUUUUUGAUCCUUCGUAGCAGUAGCCACAUGAUGACUGAUGUUUUAGCACCUUGCAUACCUCGUGAUGUGUCAGUAAGCUGGAUUCCACGAGAUUUUCAUAUAUUGCCUUUUUCUUUUUUGAUAUGGCCUGUCUGGCUAAAAUGCUUUCUUUUCUACUUAUAGAAAAGAUUAUAUGCUCCUUUGUGGCUUCGUGGAGCCAUAUUUUUUCCUCACUUAUCCUCUCAAGAGAUUCAUAGAGGACUUUCAUUCCUACGGCUCUUUUGCUGGUGAGAGCUUUGGGUUCGAAAAAUUCAGGAUCAUAAUCAUUAUAGACUUGAUCUAUAUCAAUAGUUGGACUAACUUUUUGCUGCUAAUUCUAACUUAAAUCAUGUGCUGUGCUACCACUUGUUUUCACCGUAUUAAGGGCAAGCAGUGAGGAUCUUGAUAAAAAUUAGUUCUUUUGUUUUGGAUAUCCUUUUGUGGUCAUUAACAGCCUCUGUAUUUUUUUCUAGGAGCUCUUUUAUUUUCCUACAAUCAUCACGGACAUAAACAAGGUUAAGAAAACCGUAUUCAAACAUGUCUUUUAUCAAUUUUGGAUAAGCUCCUAGCACAAAUUUUAUCCUUGGGUAUAACCCUGAAUGAUAUGGUAUUAUAGUCUGGUUAUGAUGAAUCACAUAAGUUAUUUUACCAAUUCUUUUAUAAUUAUAAGCGUUGUCGCUUCCUAAUGGAUUUUUAACCAUAGGAACAGACUGUCCGCUUUUAUUAUAUUGGGGCCUUAAGCUCACUGAAGACCUUUGAGAUUCUUCUUUCUUCAUAUAUUAUUCUUUGAGAUCAUUGAUUGUGAGAAAUUUCUCUAGAUGUGUGACCUUUGAGUUCUGUGAAGAACUCUGGGCAAUCUGAUCCUUAGUUUGAUCCUUAAAAUGGACCUUUUUUUAGCAUAUUACUAAUAGAUUGUUAUGAAAUUUGGACUUCUGGAUGAUUUUGCAAACUUUUCUAUAGGCAAAGUUUGCUCAAUUCUUCAUGGGCAUCAUCUAUCAUGGCAAGCCUAUUAUAAAUUAUACCAUUGCCUUUGAGAAGCAAUUCUUGACCUUCAGAGCACAUUAUUAUGCCCUUAAUUAUUUUGGAAAGACCCUUCUCCAUUGUAUUCUCGGCUAAGAAAAUUUGCAAUAGAAUUGUUAGAUCCUUUAAUAUAUUCAAUUUCAAAAUCAUAUUCAGCAAAAAAACCGUUGCCAUUUAAUUAAUCUUUUAUAUUAAGGGAGAUUAGGCAAUUUAUUAAAUAUAAAUCCUUUAACUCGAGUGUUAUCAGAUCUUACCUUGAAUUUCUUUGGUAACAAAAAAAAGUAAAUUUAGCUAUUCCAUUUUUAAUAGUUAACAGUUCAUUUUCAUUACUAUGAUAAUUCUUCUAUGCGGGUUUGAAUGUUCUGGUGGCAUAUCUACAAAUCUUUUCUUGAUCUGUUUUUAAGACUACACCCCAGUAAUUAUCUGAAGCAUCGGUCUCAAGAAUUAAAUUAUCACUAGAAGUAGGGAAUCCUAAUCUUGGAAGAUUUUUACAUUUUUCUUUCGAUUUUUUUACUACUUUGGUAUGGAGAUCUUUCCAUGAUUUAGUAUUAUUCUUUUUUAAUAAUCCUUGUAAAGAUUGUCUUUCUUUAGCUAAGUUUUCUAUGAAACCUUCAGCAUAAUUAAGAUAUCCUAAAAAUAUUUGAAUUUGUUCUUUAGAUUCUAAUUUAUUUGGGAAUAGAUAUAUUUUCCAAAAAUAUGAGGUUGCAUCUCAAUUCCUGUUUCAUCUAUUAUUAACCCUAGAAAUUCUAUCUUGAGUUUCAUUAUUUCAGCUUUCUUUUUAGGGAGUAAUAUUCCAUGUUUCUUGCAUUUCUCUGCAAAAGAAACGAGAUGAUUAAUAAGAUAUAUCUUAUUAUCUGAAAAUAUAAAAAUAUCAUCUAAAUAAACAAUGUAGAAUUCAUGAAAUUCUUUGAAGAUUUGAUCCAUCCUUCUUUCAAAUAUUUUUGGUGCAUUUUUCAAUCCAAAAGGCAUUACAAUCCAUUCAUAUUAUCCUUGAGGUGUACUAAAGGCAGUAAGUGGUAUACUUUCUACUUUAAGUUUGAUAUGUCAAAAUCCAGAUUUGCAAUCAAACUUGCUAAAUGUCUUUUUAUCGGUCACGGAGAUAAUUAAUGUAUCUUUAUAAGGUAAAAAAUAUCCAUUGAAUUUGGUAUAUUUAUUUAAUUCUUUGUAGUUAAUAACCAUGCGAGCUUUUCCUCAUUUAAUUUCUACAUGAUUUCUAACCAUAAAGGCUGGACUACUAUGAGGACUUUUAGAUUUCAAAUAAUCUUAAGUUCUAAUAACUCUUCAAUUUUUUUUAUCAAAUUCUUGUCCAUGUUCUUGCCCAUCUCUCAUAGGCUUAACUCUUAUGAUACCAUUUAGAUCUGUUAAUUCGAUCUUAGCAUAUGUUUAAUCAAUUUCUCAUAAUUGAAUUGGGUUUUCACCAAAAUUUUUAUCAAGUUUUUCUAAAAUUUUUUCAUAGUCUAACAUGAUUUGAAUGAUUUUUAUAGUGUAAUCAACACACUGACUGUGUCGAAAAUGUAAUUUUUGAGUUGUGCGCCUAACAAGGUUAUAAAUUCUCGGGGUAGUAAUGGAAUGAUUACAUGGUGUUUUGAGAGUAAUGGCUUCAUUAGUCAUUAUAUAAAUGAAUUGACGAAGGAAAUUAACUCCUAAAAGUAUAUAUGUUCCCAUAUGAUCAUAAGACCAGAAUAUAGGGAUACUUAAGAUGUAAUCUUCGAUUUGGAUUAAAGUCUUAAUCCUACAAGUCCCUAAGGUGAUCUGUUCAUCAUUUGUUCCUUAUCCUUUUAAAGGCUUAUAAUCUUUCCAAUAUGGUUUUGGAUAAAUCCUAGAACUGGCAAAACUAACUCCUAAACCAGUAUCGAUUAAAGCAUAAAACCAUUCCAGUUUAUGUUUAUAAUAUGGUAUAAUCACUUUUAUAUAAAUUAUAAAAGGAUUAGACAUAUCUUGAUAUGGUUUGCUUAAUUCCUUCAAUUGUUAUACUUAUUUCUCUAUCUCCUGUACAAUAAGGAGAGAAAUUCUAAAGAAAGUUCAUCCCUAAUAAUAAAGGAUUUAUUUCUGUUUCAUAAUAUGGUUCUAUGAAAAAAGGAAAGAUGAAUUUUGUUCCUUUUAUUUUUAAUGGUAUUUUACAAUAUUUUCUUAAUGUCUUUCUUUCUCUAUUAAAUCCUACAUAAGUAUGAGGUUCAAUUAGAAUUUUUCUUUCUAAAUAUUUAAUCAUUUUAGCAUCUACAUAAGAUUUUGUAGCUCAUGUAUCAAGGAUAGCAAAAGUCUCGUGCCAUGAUUUUCCAUUAUUAUAGUCAAUCUUAAUUUUUAGAUUUUGAUUAUUUUUUCUAAUUGUGGCUAAUAUUUCAUGUGAUGGUGGUGUCACAAGAUGACUACAUCUAGUAAAACUUUGGGUUCCUCUGAAUUUUGGUUCUCUUUUGGGUAUAGAGAAUGAUCUUUUAUGUCUUAUAAUGAUUCUUCCUUCUGGAGUAUAUUCUAUAGAUUUAGUAGUAUUUCCUUUAAUCAGAGUAGGUUGACUACUUAGAUUCAUUUUCCAUUCUUAUGAUAAAUAUAUUUCUCUCUGGAUUUCAGGAUAUUUUAUAUUUCUAACUUUACUAAAUAAUUUAUCUAUUUCAAUAAAAUAUUUAUUAGCAAACAUUUCACUAUUUGCUGAAUUUGUUAAUGCAUAUUUUAUGGCAUACAUUAUGCUAUAUGGAUAAGACCCCUCAUGCAUUAUAUCAAAGUAUUUAAAAUCAUGACAUAAGGUUAAUGUUUUAUUUAUAUUUCUAUCCCUAAGACUUAUAGAAUAUUUAGGAUAUAUCUUAAAUAUCAAUUUUUUAUAACUCAAGUUUCCUUGUAUUAUUCUAGGGACUGCAUGUUUUCGAUCUUGUAUUCUAUUAUCUAGUACUGCUAAAAUUAUUGGACUAUCUAUUCCUUCCCGAAAAUGAGCUUUUAUCAUAAACUGAAUUCCUCCAAUAUGAUCAUAUCCAAUUUUGGGUCUAUUGCUAGAUUUUAUCUUACUGAUUUUAUCUUCUAUAUCAGUCUUUAAUAAUAAUGGUAUAUUUGUAUUUCCCUUAGCAUACCUAAUUUCAAUAUGUUCUUCUCACACAGUAGCACUGAAAUACAUAACAUUUUUUCUUUUAAUCAUGGUGGCAAUUCCUAGAGCUAACUUAUUGACUGAAGUCAAGGAUGAUUCUAAUCAUUUUUUUGUUAAUCUUGAGGUAUUGUUUUUUUUUUUUAUCAAAGAUUAAUUCUUUGUUAAAAGAACCUUGUUCUUCUAAUUCUUCAUCUUGAUAUAAAUGCUUAUUAUCUAAUUCUUCUAUACUCAUUCCAAAUAUGAUUUUGAAUCUGAGCUACUUAAAGUUUCUUCAGAAAGAUAAUAUAUGCUAUCACUUUCACUAAUACCUUCACUAUCUGUGAUUAAUUCUAAAUCAUUAAAAUCCUCAAACAUUUUUAUAUUUUCUUUUUUCUUUUUAGGACAUUCAUUUGUAUAAUGCCCUUCUUCAUUACAUAACCACCACUUGCAUUCUUUAACUACAUUGGUUUUAAAUCUUCUUUUAAAUUUAUUUUUCUUGUAGAAUUUCUUCUUAUAUUUAUUUUUCUUGUAAUAUUUCUUGUUGCCUUUAAAGAAUCUCUUCUUUUUGAAUUUAUUCCUAUAUUUAUAAGUUUUAUCUGAACAUCCAAAUCUUGGUGGAUCUUCUAACUUAGAGCAAAACAAUCCUUGAUUUAGCCUUUUCAUAAGUCUGUUAUCUCUUAUUUCAGCACACCAUUCACUCAUUCUAUUUCGAGCAAACCUAAUCUUAUUUCCUAAGGUAUCAGUCUCUGUUGUAUCUUCAUAUUUGUUGUUAUAUUCUAGCAUAAUCCUUUUCUCCCAUGGGUCUGGUAUCCUUAUAAAAUAUAGAUCUUAGUAAUAGCAUAUGCUACUUUCAUCUAAUUCACAUUUAUAAUAUAAUUCUUCAAAGCUACACGUGUAUUCUUCUAAAUAACAUAUAUUACAUAUUUCAAGCCUUGUUAGUUUUAUUACAUUUUCCAUCUUUUUUUCACUUUAUUUCUUAUUGAAAACCAGUUUCUCAAUCUUCUCCUAGGAAUUUUUUUCUUAUUUCAUUUUCAAAUCUAUUUAAAACUUGAUCCAAGCUUUCAUUUUGAUUAUUAUUUUCUCCAUACAAUAUUUUAUUUUUGUUAUUAUCGUUUAGUCCCAUAAACGAAUGUGACACUAUUCCUACAAAUGAAGUUUUAAGGAAUUCUAUACUAUUAUUCCUAUCUAUUUUGUUAAAUACAAAUGCCGUUUUCAUAGAUUUAACCCAAGCGAUAAUCGUUUUAUCUCUAUCUUUGACAUAGUCUAAAUCUAACCAUACUCCAUCAUGGUUGAUUGGUCUCUCUCUAUAUUUUCCUGGAGUUUUAUAAUUUUUUUAGGCUUGUUAACCCUAAAAUAUUGAUGUUGUGAUCUUUCAUGAGCUAGUAUUUCUUCUCUAGUAUAGGAAGCUCUAUUACUAGAUUCUCCUUGUUAAAAAACCGUUGGUUUUGAUUCAUUCAUUUUUAAUUGUUCUAUUCUAUUUUCAAUAUCUCAUAAGUUAAUGAGUACAUCCUCUUCCUCUUCGGAUUUAGAUUCUUCAUUGGAUAUUUCUGGAUUGUAUAAUUCUUUUAAUCCAUUGUCUACAUUUUCACUUAGCAUCCUUAAACUUAUUAAUUUUUUAUCUUAGUUUUUUGUUAAAUAUUGUCUAGAUAUUGCUAUCAUUUCUUUAUCUUUCUUUUCGUUGUAGUAAAUUAUGGUGUCUUGUAAGGUUUUAUUUUUUUUUCUUGAAUUACCAUGAGUAAUUCUUCCAUAUUGUUAUUUAUCUUUUGUAUUUCAAUCCUUUUGUAGUUUUCUAUGAAAAAUUAUUUCUAUACACCUCUCUCCUAAUUCUAAAUAGGAGAAUAGGAUCGAUGUUUAAAUUUCUAUUCUUUAUUAUUUUGAGUUCUCCAAUUCUAAAUUCAUGAGCUCUAGAUAAAUAAAAUUGUUCUAAUUGUUUAUCAUCUAAUAUCUCAAGUUUUGAAUAAUAAUAUUGUUUAUGUUUAGUUAUGUUAUCCUUUAUAGUAUUACUAUCUACCAUUAGAUUAUAUCCCCUAUUAUUAAUAAAAUAAACAAUUGUUUCUUCCAUUUUUAUAUUUUGAACCAAAAAUCUGGUUCUGAUACCGUUUUUGCAGACAAUUUUCAAUCCUAAGAUCCAAGUAAGGAUGUAAAUGAUUAAUCUUUAAAAUCUUAUGAAUAUUUUACAAUUUUGCUUUUUUAAAACACACAGUUUUAUGCUAGGUGUUGUGCAAUCUUUUGUAAAAAUUCAUGAACCAAUACUAUAUUGACUUCUCCUAAAAUGCAUAGGUUUGUUAUGAAAUUCUAAGUGUACAACCCAAAAAGUGGGGUGAAUUGGGUUUUUAAAAAUUUAAGCAAUUAUAACCACACAAAAAUUUCAAUUAAUGUCUUAUUUGAUUCAAUAACAAUAAUUUUAACAAUGAAUAAAGUAAAGAGAUGAGGGAGAAGAGAGCAAACAUGAGAUUUUUACAUGGUUCAGCAAAACCUGCCUACGUUGACGCCUCCAAGCUCACUAUGCUUGAAGAUUUCACUAUCCAAGCAUUACAACCCUAAGGCUUCAAGAUGCUUACAAUUGAUUUCUAAGGUUUCCAUGGACCUUUACAUCCAGAGGUUCUCUCAAACCUCUUAACCAAGUGUUUCUCACACUUACAACCACUUAAUUGUGAUAUUGAAAAAAAGUUACACAAAUUUUCCACUCACACAAUAUAUGUGUUUACAACUAAAAGCCUAGAGUGUGUUUCAAUGAAAGAAUAAAAACAUUUAAGCUCAAGACAGAUUAAACAUGCAAAAGUAAGCUCAAUGCCAAUUUUUGAAUUCGUUAUUGAUUGAAUAUGAUUAAUCCUUUUGAUAGUUGGAGCUGAAAACUAGCCGUUAUUGACUUUCUGCACAAGGUCGGAUCAUCGUUAAUACUUAUCGGACUGCUGUUUUGACUUGAUCAAGUUACCGUUAGGCGAAAAUCUAAAUUUUCGGAUCACCAUUUUCGAGACAUUGAAUUGUUGUUAGUUUCUAGUAACAUUGCGAGAAAAUAGUUGGCUUACCGUUUUCAAAAUGUCAUAUCGUCGUUAGUUUCCAAAUCCAUUCGAUGUCGGUUAGCCAUUUGCUACAUUAACUGCUACAUUGAAACUAUUUUUUAAAAUUAUAUUUUUGCCAUGCUUUCUAUAAUUAUACUGUAGCCCAAAUCUUCAUAAUACUUUACAAAUAGGUCCAUUUUCAGAGUUUCAAAACAUACUUUUUAUUUCCAAAACUUUAUGAAAUUAUACUAUAACCCAAAAAUAUAUAAAAUAUUUCAAAUAGGUUCAUUUCUAGAAUUUUAAAACAAUACUUGUUGAUUUCAAAGUUCUCAAAACUUUUUAAAUUUAGAGCAUUAACUUCAAAAUAACCAAUUUCAUAAAAUCAUUUUUUUCAUUAAGAUUUAUGAAAAAUGACUUGAGCUUUUAAAUGCUUAAGCAUGCAUAUAUUUAAUCAUACUAGCUUUACAAGAAAUGUAACAAGAGAAAUCACCUAAGCUAGUACCUCUAAUGCUUGUUCUUGACUUAGUGAGCUUUUUACCUUCGUCUAUUUGAGUGCCUUGAACUUGAUCACACACACACACACACACACACACACACACACACACACACACAUAUAUAUAUAUAUAUAUAUAUAUAUAUAUAUAUAUAUAUAUAUCAUUUUAUCCUUUUAUCCUUAACACGUGGUUUGUUAUUAUCAAAACCCAAGUUCGUACAACCGCUUAGGCCAACAUGUUACUCCCAAUCAAUUGACUUCUGACAUGACUACUUCCAAAAUGGCUAGUACCAAAAGGGAAUCCUUCUGGGAUGAGAAUUGAAAAACAUGCCUCUUCUAGCACUAAAAUUACUCCUUCCACCUAUAUUUCCACUAUAAUGUCCUUAAAAUCCUCCGGCAUAUCCACCUCUUUUAGUAUUGCCUCCUAUUUGUGCAUGAUAGUAAUUAAUUAUGCCAUAGUUAUUAUGGUUAGCAAAGUUAGCACAAUUUGCAUUGAAUAUGUGUUUUUCAUUAUGACUUUGUUCAAGUCUUGCCUCUUGAGUAAGCAAUAGAGCAUACGCACCAUCAUAAUAUAACUUGCUAGCAGUAAUAAAAGUAGAUAAAUGCAGAUGGCUAGCUCCAAAACUAUUGAGAAUUUGUUAAACAUAUCUUUAUCAGAAAUAGGACUACCAACACAUGUCAAUUUAUCUGCUAUUUAUUUAAUCUUUAAGCAAUACUCUUCUAUGCUUAGUGACUUUUUUUCUCAAAGCAUUCAUCUCAUAUCUCAUUUGAAGAAUCCUACCCUCAUAAUGUUGCCUAAACUUUUUCUGUAAUGUUUUUCAUACAUCAAGUAAGGUGUUAUAAGAAUGAACAAGACCGAGAAUACCUUCAGUGAUAGAGCUGAGUAACUAGCUAAGUAAUGUGUGAUCUUGAGAUCUCCAAACAAUGAACUCAGGAUUUUCAAUCUGUUAAGUAGAUGCAGCAACUGCUCUAGCAUAGCUGAUGAAUCAAUGAAUUGAUUUGGUGCUUCAUUUUCUCUAGUUAUGUAUCCUUCGGUUUCCUCUUAUAAAAGCUAGAACUUGAUUUUGCCACAGCAUGUAAUUUGAUCAAUCGAAUGUGAUUGGAGUGAUGAAACAGAAUGUUGUUUGCAUUGAUUGAUUUGUAGAGAUUGCAAUUGAAUUUGUGCUUACAUUGCUUGAGCUUGCCAUUUUGGCUCAGAUACCAUGAAUAAAUUAUUGGAAGUUGAGUUAUAGUUGCUGUUUAACAGCUGAGAAAAUAGAGGAAAAUUCUCUGGAAAUUCUAAAUGUUUCCUAUUGAGCAAACGAAAGAUUAACAUACUAUAUAUAUACAAGUUUCUAAAUUGUUUCUAGCUAAUUUACAGUACAGCUAAUCAAUAGAUUUGAUCCAAAGUAAAACUAAUUAGUUUCACACAUAAGGAGCACGUGAAUCCAUCAUCGUUGCAUAAUCGAACAUGUUGACUUAGCUGCUGACUUGGCAUUGACAGCUGAUUUGCUUCUUUUUUGUAACUCUGGAUAGUGUGCUUUCUUCACAAGUUUCCCCAAAUCUCCAUUAUGUACAGCUUCUGCAAAAAUUUCCUAACCAAACCAUUUAUUUGUAAUUUCCUCUUGUGUUGGCCCUAUGCCAUCAUCAAGUGGUACCGUGAGAGGAUUUCCAUCUAGAUUACCCUGAUCUUUGUCUGAAUCAUAACUAGUAUGCAUAGUGUUUUCAUCCUCAUCACCCUGCGCAGCCAAAACAAAAUGCUUAACAUUACAUAUACAGUAAAACCUCUCUAUAGUCAUAUUGUUGGGAUUAAACUAAUUUUAUUAAUAUGAAGAUGUUAUAAACUUAAUGGAAAUUCAGUGACAAAUCUAUUGAUUAGCUGUGCUACUUUGAUAAUUAAUUAAUGAAGCAUGUCAAAUCUAAUGCAUUGACAUUGAUAAAAGAGGUAAACAUAUAAUUUAAAAAACUAGUACUUAUAUCUAUCAUCUGUGUAGUAUUGGGAACAUGCAAAGUCUUCUUAUUGAAAAUCUAAAGAAUAAAUUAUUAUCCAAAAUAAUUUCAGAAAAAUAUUAUAUUUCAUCUUAAAUCUUUCAUGUAACAUAGCAAAUUUUUUUUUUUUUUGCUCAAUAUACAUAUUAGUAAUACUGUGUGGAUGCGUGUUCCUUAAGAUAUGCUCUAUAAAAGUUGUUAACUUAUUACAAUGUGAAGUUUGUUCUUAUUUAUAAUUGGCUUAAAGCAGGAAUAAGAUUUUUUGUGACUAUUGGACGUUGUUCUUAUAAAAUGUAUCACUACAGAGAGAUUUUAUUAUAAUUCUAAACCGAGAAAAGAAAGUGUAAUCCUAAUAAAUCACCAUCGAUUAGAGCUAUAAUGAAUUAAGCUUUACAAAGAAGAAGAAGAAAGAUUACAAUGUGAAGGCAACAAGAAUCAUGACAAAGUGAGAAAAAGAGAGGCCACAUAAGCCCCAAGGGAAAUUGAGAUUUUAUAACACAGCCUAAUUGCAGAAAGCAUAGGCGAAAAACAGGUGCUUGAUUGCAAACAUGCACACGCGCGCGCGCACACACAAUUUGACCACAAAGACCGCAUACCUUUGAGAGUUGGUCCUCUGGGGCAUAGGCAUUUUUCGCACGUUUUCGUGCUUCCUCCUUUUAUGGCCACGUAGUUUUCGUAAGCUUGAUCAAGAAACUCCUCCAAUUGUUCAUCAUACCUAACACCAAAAAAAUGUCAUAAGAUCACAAAGGCAUAAGUUGAUAGAUAUAUUUGUCAAGAUAAUGCGACAGAAGAUAUAGGUAGAAAAGAAUUACUUUCUGCAUUCUUUAUCAGAGUCACUGUCACUGGACAAUUGCUCUUGAGUGUCUCUAUCGGGUCUCUCAUCUUCACAGCCCUCUGCAGUAGCAUUCUCAUCAUCAUCAUCAUAUUCAACAGCAGCAAGAUCUUUUUUACCCUAAACCGAUCAUUCAAGUUUAUAAAAGAAUGAGAUACUUGCCUUAGACCACACUUUUGAAUUGGAAAAAACUAAUAAAUCAAAAUUGCAACUAAUAUUGUCCUACCCAGCCAUUUUUCAUUUAUCCUGAUGUCAAGUACACUACAAUCGAUGAGUACCUCAGUCAGUUUGCGUAACCCUUCUCUGUUGAGUUGUAGCUUGCAGGAUAUUGGGAAAUAAAUAAUUGGCUUGUUGCCAUCUUUGGUUUGUAUCUGUAAACAUUAUGGUUGUUGGCCUUACCUUCUUUUGGUUUUCUAUGGAAUUUGUAGCACCAUAUUUUGUCCACUAUGUCAGUACACCAGUGAUUAAACAAAGUAGUCUCAUGUGCUUGAUCUAAAAAUAAUUAUAAAGUCACCAUGUGGUUGAUCUAAAGAUAAUUAUAAAGUCACAAACACAGAAAAAUUAAAAGUAAUUCAUAAACAUUUGUCAUGUGAAAUUUACUUAAUGGAAGAGAAAUUCUAGGAAACAACUUUAUGGUGAGAAAACUCUAAAAAUCAAACCGAAAGAUAUAUAAUAAAUAAUUUUAUAAGAAUUAGGCUAUGUUUCAAAUAAUAUCACAUAUAGUAAAUUUAUGAGUUGUCGCUCAUCAUAACUCAAUUGUUUCACAUAUUGUAAUUCUUUAAUUUUGAAUAACAACAUAUGUUUCAUAAGAUUUAAAAUGGUAUGACUCAUUUUAUAAUAUUUUUAACUGAAUUGAAAUUCUGCAACUAUAAAAAUUGAAAAGAAUGAACUUGGCGGUAUUACGCUUAUAGUAUUGUUUCUUAUGGUGAACCAAAAGCAAGCCAAAAUUACGCUUACAUCAUCUUACUCUACCGUAAAACUUAUUUAUAAUCAUAACGGUAACACUAAAUUAAUUUUAUUACUGUGAGAGUUUAAUAUUUAAUAGAGGUGUAGUUACAAAAAUUAUUAUUUUAACUUAAUUAUUUUUUGUGCAAGUGAUAUAGCGAUAAAAUAUGCACUAUAUUAAUAACUAAUUAAUACAGCAUGUCAAAUUCAAUGUACUAACAAUGAUGAAAAAGAUAGGCAUAGUUUGAAAAAAACUAGUACAUAUAUCUUUAUAGUGCUGGAAUUAUGUAAAAUCAUCUUGAAAGUCUAAAGAAUAAAUGAUUGUACAAAAUAAUUUUAGAAAAAUAUUUUACUUCAUCUUAAACCUUUAACAUAAUAAGGGAUAUAUUUUUUACAAUAUACCGAUAAUUAUUACUAUUAGAGGUAACUUUCUUAAAACCGGAUUUAAAAAAAUUAUAAUUUAUCAUAAUAUAGAGUUUAUUCUUAUUUAUAAUUAUUAGGCUUGAUAAUCGACUGGGUCGUGUUUGGGCCAUGCCAAGCUCUAGCCCAACUAGGGGUGGCAAAACGAAUAAACGAAUCGAAUUUGAAUCGAAUCGUAAACGAAUUGGGUCAAAAUUAUAUGGAUUCGGAUUCGAUUCGUUUAUUAAACGAAUUGAAAUUUCAGGAUUCAGAUUCGAUUCGGUUAUUAAACAAAUAUUCGGUUCAAUUCGUUUAAUUCGUUUAAUAGAAUUGAUAAACGAAUCGAAUCGAAUCCGGAUUCGUUUAUUAUUCGCUUAUCCUUUACGAAUCCAUAACGAAUCGAAUCGAAUCAGGAUUCGUUUACAAUUCAUUUAGAAAAAUAUAAUUAAUAAACAAAAUUAAGCAAAAAAAACACAAAUUUAAUAUCCCACAACAAAAUACAAAUAAUUCAAAUCAUAUUAUACAGUCAUCCAAAUACUAAAUUACAAAUCCUUAAUAUUACAAAUAACAAUAAUUCAAAUUCAAAUUAUAAAGAAAUGUAAUUUCUUUAAUUCUCUUCAUUUGUCUUUGUCGCCUUGAAAACAAAAAUCCUACACCAAAAAGUAAAUAAAAUGUUAUUAACAUGCUGCAAUAUUGAUAAUAGUCAUUGUAAAAUUUCAAAAAUCAAAUAUAUAGCAAAUUUGUAGCAUUUUCAAGAAAAUAAUAAUUAAACAAGAUAAAAACUUUACCUACCACACUCACACACUGUCAUUUGGAUCAUUGGCACUCUCUGCAGAUGGAGCACAAUUAGUGCUCAUGUUCAUAAUGUUUUGAGUAAGUUGGUCCACAGUGACAUCCAAAUUUUCUACAAUAAUUUUAUAAAAAUAAAUCUUAAUUAGAAACAAUUGCACAUAAUAUUAUAAAAGAAAAGUAAAUAAAUUUUAUGAGCAAGUUUUACCAAUCUCUCCAAACUUCCAAUCUCUAGUAGUAAUAAUUGCUUGAACUAUCUCUAGUAGUAAUAAUUACUUGAACUGUCUCUGGCUUCAAUACACUUCAAAAUUGAUCAAGAACUCAACCGCCAAACAACAACAAAACAACAGUAAAACAGCAACAAAAUAGCAGCAAAAUAGUAGUAAAACAACAACAAAAUAUCAGUAAAAUAGCAGUAAAACAACAACAAAAUAGUGGAAAAAUAACAAAAAAAAUGGUAGCGAAACAGCAGCCAAACAACAGCAGUAAAACAGCAGCGAAACAGCAGUAAAACGACAGUAAAAUAGCAGUAAAUCAGCAACAAAACAACAGCAAAACAGUAAUAAAACAGCAACAAAACAGCAACAAAACAACAGCAAAACGGUAAUAAAACAGCAAUAAAAGGCAAAUUUUCAGUGGUGUACCGUGAUGGUGGGUAGUUAGCGCGGCGGGAAGUGGUGCUGGGGAUGAAAACCUUCAAAUUUUAAAAAGCUUUCAAAUAAAUUUAAGGAUAAAAAAGUAAUUUAAUUAAACGAAUAAUAAACUAAUCGACCCGUAUUCGAUUGGUUUAUGACCGAUUUAUUAAACGAAUAAACGAAUCAAAAUUUUCAAACCUGCAUUCGAUUCGUUUAAUUAACGAAUCGAAUCGAAUUCACCCAUUUAUUAAACGAAUCAAUUUUUUCAAACUCAAACCCAUUUAAUUUGCAUCGAAUCGAAUCAAAUAAACGAAUCCUGACCCAUAUUGCCACCCCUGCCCAACCCUAUGAUUAAAAUGAAGGACUCUAAUACUAAAAAGCUUGACCCUUCAAACUAAAGAACAACCUGGCUUUAAUAAUUUUUUUAUAUUUUAUUUUUUUUUUUAAGAAUAUGACUCCUAUUCUUCAUUCUUUAGUAAUAUUAUUAUUAUUAUUAUUGUUCCUUUUUUUUGUUGGAUUUGUUUGUAAGGAAUUUAAUAAAUUAUUUUUUAUUUAACUUAACAACAAUAGAACGUUUAACAAUCUAACAAAAUUAAUAUAUUAACCAAGCAAUAGGUAAAUAAAUCAAAUACAAAAUAACAAAAUUAAUAUGAAAUAGAGAUAAAUAUCCCUAAAGUGUAGUUGUGACCAUCUAUGUGUAUGUGUGUUUAAUAAUAUUUUUAUUUUAAAAAUUAAUUUAAAGAUCAAGAGUUGAGUUAAAACAUUUUGGUAAAACUUUAACCCUAACCCAAAUGUAAUUAGGUCCUGAUUCCUUAAGCCCUAACCCAACGUUUAACCUUUCAAAUUCGAGUCAAAACCAUUAAAAUUAAGAUCGAAUCAAUCAAGUCGAGGGUCGGAUAAAACCUUUUUGUCAUCCUAAAAAUUACCCUAAAUUAAAAUCAAAAUUUUUUAAAAUUAUAUAAAAAUUAUUCUUAUACACAGUAACAAUAUACGACCCAACAAGAAAUGAACCUGGACGCAUUAGGGCUUUGAUCCACAAACAAACUUUCAAAACCCUCUUAGACCUCAAGAGCAUUUUAGUCCAUUUAAUCAAAAGUAAAAGUGCGGCUACCAGCUAACUCUCCGGAAUUGAACUGAACGAGUUUCAGAAAUGGCAUCGAAAAGCAAGAUUCUAUCCAUCGGCGGGACAGGGUAUAUCGGUAAAUUCAUCGUGGAAGCUAGCGUGAAAGCCGGCCACCCGACGUUCGUGCUCGUGAGGGAAUCCACAGUCUCUGGUCCUUCCAAAUCUCAGCUCCUCGACCACUUCAAAAACCUCGGCGUCAAUUUCCUUGUCGUGAGUUAUCAAUUUUUUUUUUCAUUUUUUUAAUUCCAAAUUUUGACACGUGGCGGUGUAGCCUCUACUUGAUAGACUUGGUUUUUUUUUUUAAUUUAAUUUUUGUGGGUGCUGUUAUUAUUAUGCAGGGAGAUGUUUUGAAUCACGAGAGUUUGGUGAAGGCGAUAAAACAAGUGGACGUGGUGAUAUCAACAGUUGGUCACACUUUAAUAGCCGAUCAGGUCAAGAUUAUUGCUGCCAUUAAAGAAGCCGGUAACGUUAAGGUAUGACAUAAUUAAUGUAAAUGUCUUAGAUUCCGAUCAGGAUUGUGCACUCGUGCACACGUGGUGAUUUAUUCUUCGUGUGGAGCUCGCUGUAGAGUAGAGCUCCCAGUUCCGCUAAUAAACACCCGUCACAUGCGCAAUUGCGCCUCAAAAUAAUUUAAUUAAUUAAUUAGGUAUAAACACCGAUGGCAUGAAAGCAAUUAAAAUUAGUUGAUGUUUAUAAAUUAUUUAUUACUCAGAGAUUCUUCCCAUCGGAAUUUGGAAAUGAUGUUGAUCGAGUCCAUGGCGCCGUGGAGCCAACAAAAUCGACGUAUGACGUAAAGGCGAACAUCCGCCGAGCCGUUGAGGCAGAAGGCAUUCCGUACACGUACGUAGAAUCUUAUUUUUUUGAUGGCUACUUCCUCCCUAAUUUGUUGCAGCCUGGGGCCACUGCCCCCCCUAGGGAUAAGGUUGUCAUCUUCGGCGAUGGAAAUCCAAAAGGUAACAUAAUUUAAUUAAGCUCUGUUUGUUUGGUAUGUAUUUCGGUGUUAAUGUUAUUGUCUGUUGUACAAUGGAUGGUCUUGCUUGGUACUGUUGUUGGAGAGCUGCAGUGUUUUGAUAAACACCUCUAUCCUUAGCUUUCAAGUUAAGUUGAUUUUAUACAACACUUGUUUAAUUAAAAACUUGUAAUAUUCUUACUACUUUGAUAAAAAAAAUAUUACGAUUAAAGUAUUAAUGGCACCAUAAUACGAAGUGAAUCUUAAGUGGUCAUUAUAGAUUUUAAGAUAGAGUUUUAAGUGAUUACCAGAUACUUUAGCUGCUGAACCGCCACAUCAUGGUUGCCACACAACAAUUUCAAACAGAGCCUAAAUAACUUCAUUGCAAAACAGUUAAAUGAAUCUAACUUAGUUUCGUCGUUUGAUUUUCAGCUGUUUUUAACAAGGAAGAUGAUAUUGGAACCUACACUAUCAAAGCGGUUGAUGAUCCGAGAACCUUGAACAAAAACUUUUACAUUCAGCCUCCCGGUAAUAUUUACUCAUUCAAUGAUCUUGUGUCUCUGUGGGAGAGAAAGAUUGGUAAAACCCUCGAAAA
This 19942-nucleotide long non-coding RNA is filed under the name Citrus maxima (pomelo). RNAcentral describes it as "long non-coding RNA (CMAX_LNC003344)". The record is from RNAcentral. Lineage: Eukaryota; Viridiplantae; Streptophyta; Magnoliopsida; Sapindales; Rutaceae.